This 450-nucleotide ribosomal RNA is filed under the name uncultured bacterium. Its description in RNAcentral is "bacterial SSU rRNA". It matches the Rfam family "Bacterial small subunit ribosomal RNA", at positions 45 to 504 of the family's 1533-position model. The record is from RNAcentral.
GGCCUAACACAUGCAAGUCGAGCGGGGUCCAUCCGGUAGCAAUACUGGUGAAGACCUAGCGGCGAACGGGUGAGUAACACGUGAGAAACCUGCCCUGAAGUCUGGGAUAACCCGAGGAAACUCGAGCUAAUACCGGAUGCCUUCCACUGAUCGCAUGGUCGGUGGAAGAAAGAUUCAUCGCUUCAGGAGGGUCUCGCGGCCUAUCAGCUAGUUGGCGGGGUAACGGCCCACCAAGGCGUCGACGGGUAGCUGGUCUGAGAGGACGAUCAGCCACACUGGGACUGAGACACGGCCCAGACUCCUACGGGAGGCAGCAGUAGGGAAUCUUGCGCAAUGGGCGAAAGCCUGACGCAGCAACGCCGCGUGCGGGAUGAAGGCCUUCGGGUUGUAAACCGCUUUCAGUGGGGACGAAUUCAGACGGUACCCACAGAAGAAGCCCCGGCCAACUAC